GCGGAAGUGGCGGAAUUGGUAGACGCACCAGAUUUAGGUUCUGGCGCCGCAAGGUGUGAGAGUUCAAGUCUCUCCUUCCACACCU
This 85-nucleotide transfer RNA is filed under the name Vibrio parahaemolyticus. RNAcentral describes it as "tRNA-Leu". It matches the Rfam family "tRNA". From Rfam's summary of the family: Transfer RNA (tRNA) molecules are approximately 80 nucleotides in length. Their secondary structure includes four short double-helical elements and three loops (D, anti-codon, and T loops). Lineage: Bacteria; Pseudomonadati; Pseudomonadota; Gammaproteobacteria; Vibrionales; Vibrionaceae. The record is from RNAcentral.